AGAGUUUGAUCCUGGCUCAGGAUGAACGCUAGCGGCAGGCUUAACACAUGCAAGUCGAGGGGCAUCGGGAGGGAAGCUUGCUUUCCUUGCCGGCGACCGGCGCACGGGUGAGUAACACGUAUGCAACCUGCCCUCUUCAGGGGGACAACCUUCCGAAAGGGAGGCUAAUCCCGCGUAUAUCGGUUUCGGGCAUCCGAGAUCGAGGAAAGAUUCAUCGGAAGAGGAUGGGCAUGCGGCGCAUUAGCUUGACGGCGGGGUAACGGCCCACCGUGGCGACGAUGCGUAGGGGUUCUGAGAGGAAGGUCCCCCACACUGGUACUGGGACACGGACCAGACUCCUACGGGAGGCAGCAGUGAGGAAUAUUGGUCAAUGGGAGAGAUCCUGAACCAGCCAAGCCGCGUGAGGGAAGACGGCCCUAUGGGUUGUAAACCUCUUUUGUCGGAGAACAAAACCCGGGACGUGUCCCGGACUGCGUGUAUCCGAAGAAAAAGCAUCGGCUAACUCCGUG
Molecule: ribosomal RNA, 509 nt
Filed under: uncultured Bacteroidota bacterium
Lineage: Bacteria; Pseudomonadati; Bacteroidota
Description: bacterial SSU rRNA
Rfam family: Bacterial small subunit ribosomal RNA
Source: RNAcentral